UACGUAGGAUGCAAGCGUUGUCCGGAAUUAUUGGGCGUAAAGGGCGAGCAGGCGGACUGCCAAGUCAGACGUGAAACUCCCUGGCUUAACCAGGGACGGUCGUCUGAGACUGCCAGACUAGAGUGCAGGAGAGGAAAGCGGAAUUCCCGGUGUAGUGGUGAAAUGCGUAGAUAUCGGGAGGAACACCAGAGGCGAAGGCGGCUUUCUGGCCUGUAACUGACGCUGAGGCGCGAAGGCUGGGGGAGCGAACAGG
Molecule: ribosomal RNA, 253 nt
Filed under: uncultured bacterium
Lineage: Bacteria
Description: partial 16S ribosomal RNA
Rfam family: Bacterial small subunit ribosomal RNA
Source: RNAcentral